Molecule: transfer RNA, 73 nt
Filed under: Balneolaceae bacterium
Lineage: Bacteria; Pseudomonadati; Balneolota; Balneolia; Balneolales; Balneolaceae
Description: tRNA-Arg
Rfam family: tRNA
About the family: Transfer RNA (tRNA) molecules are approximately 80 nucleotides in length.
Source: RNAcentral
GACCCCAUAGUUCAAGCGGAUAGAACGAUAGCCUCCUAAGCUUUAGAUCCAGGUUCGAGUCCUGGUGGGGUCA